Molecule: non-coding RNA, 2751 nt
Organism: Phascolarctos cinereus (koala)
Lineage: Eukaryota; Metazoa; Chordata; Mammalia; Diprotodontia; Phascolarctidae
Source: RefSeq, a predicted model, not a curated record
UCAGGGGCAUUUUCCAAGCUCACGGGCGGGAGGGGUUUCCGUCUUAUGAAGACAUUUUCUCCUCUUCUCUCUGCCUCUUCCACGCUUGCUGGUUCCCACUUCCCCUUCCCUGUCCUGAGCUGAAGUGUGACGGGCACUACCUUCUGUGGCCUCUGCUCUGCCCCAGGAGGACAGCCUGGAGGAAGAGGGAAUGGCUCCAGCCCUGACAGCCAGGCCCGGGAAGAUGAGUACCACUUGCUGCUUUCCUGAAAUAGCAUCUCAGGCCAGAGACCGUGGGAUAGGUUUUUUUGUCCUAUGCUAUAACACUAGGAAUUGUGGGCAUCAGACAAUCAUAUUUAGAGCUGAAAGAUACCAUAGACACCAAGUUAUCCUCUCCACAUGCAAAAAAAGACCUAAUUACAUUUACUUUUUGUUUUUUUAAAUUUUGUGUUCUAAAUUCUUUAGCUCCUUCCACUUCUCCCCCCACCCAUUGAUAAGGCAGACAAUAGGAAAUCCGUUUUGCAUGUGAAGUAAUGCAAAACAUUUUCAUAUUGACCCCAUCUAAAAAAAAGUGCAAGAAAAAUGAAAGUGAAAAAGAAUAUUCAUCAGUCUGCACUCCCAAGUUCAUCAGUUCUCUUGUCAUAUUUUAUAAUUAGUCCUUUGGAAUUUUCAUGGAUCAUUUUAAUAUUACAUAAACUGUUUGAAAAUACAGAAAGAGAAAGAUUCCUACCAAAUUGCUUUUACAAAGAUGAUGUUACCUAAAAUGGAGAGAUGACAGUACUAUUCCAUCAAGGUUAUAUAUUAUGAGAUUGGACAUAUAUAAGGCAUUCAUAUUUGGUUCAAAAUUAAGAGCACUAUUGACAUAAUAAACUAUAUAAGGUGAACAAUAAAAAGCAUAUGGUUAUAUCAGUAGAUGCGCACGAGGCUUUUGACAAGAUAUGACACCUAUUCCUCUUAAAAAUGUAAAUGAUAGGAAUAAAGGAAAAUUAAGGUUCACUGAGGUUCCCCCUCACACUUAUCAGAUUGGCAGAAUUGACAAAAAAGUAAAAUGAGAAAUUCUAGAUGGCCUGUGGGAAAACAAAUACCUUAAUAUGUUGUUGAUAGUUGUUGUGGUAGUGGUGGAUCCUUUUCCAGAACCAUGACAUCAGGAAGAUGGGAACAUGAGUUGCAAAUGAAUUGGGUUUAAGGGAAGAAAGGCUGUGCAAGGUCACCAAGCCUCACUUUCUCAUCCCAUCUGCGUCCAGUGGCAAGAUAGAGAUCAGGAACAGUGGAGAUGGUUCUGCAUGCUGUGAGAGACCUUGGCCUUUUGAAGCUAAGGUCUUUAGGAGUUCUCACUUUGACUGAGGCAAAGCCCCAUUAAGUGAUUAAGGCUGGUUUAGAAAUGUGGGAAGGAAUGUCCCUUUUUGUAUCACAAAAAAUAAAUAAAUCUAUCUGAGAGGGCAGAACCUCAGGGUUUCUGUCCAAAACAGAAACAAUUACUGGAGCCCAAACCAUGACCACUAAGUGGUGCUUGGGCUGGGAUCUAGUGUUGGCUGUUCUGUGAGAGCCAGUGAAUUGGGUUUAAGGCUUGAUCUUUAAGAAAGAAAUAAGCCAGUAAACUCCAAGAGCAUGAUAGCUCCUGUGGACAGAGGGAGAAGUAGGAGUAAAGGGAGAGGAAGGAGCUGAUUUGCUCCACUGGCCAGUUGGGUCCCCAGUGGGGCAGUUCAAACUACUCACAGGUUAUUGUUUGUCCUUCAUUCUGAAGAGGACCAUGUCAUCAGGAGGAUGAUUCCAUGACUUGCAAAUGAAUUGGUUUUAAGUGAGGGUGGGCUGUACAAGGUCACAAGCCUCACUUUUCUCCUCUGAAGCCAUUUGAGUCCAGUGGCAAGAUAUAGAUCAGCAAGACUUGAGAUGGCCCCUCCUAUUGGUGGAUCUACAACUUGGACCAGCCAUUUUUGAAAGCACUUUGGAAUAAUGCUGAGAAAAUUACUAAACUGUGCACAUACUCUUUGGCCCAGCAGUACUACUACUAGGUGCAAAGGGAUCAGAAAAAGAGAAAAUGACCCAUAUGUACAAAAACAUUCAUAGCAGCUUUUUGUGGUAACAGAAUUGGAAACUGAGAAGAUUCCCAUCAUUUGUGGAAUGGCUAAACAUUAUUAUGGCAUGCAGAGGUGAUAGAAAAAUAUUGUACUAUAAGAAAUCACACAAGGAGCUUUUUCAUAGAACCCAAGGAAGACUUGCAUGAAUCACUGCAGAAUGAAGUAAACAGAGCAGGAGAAAAAUGUAUCCAAUGACAACAUUGUAAAGACAGACCACUUUGAAAAAUUUAAAAACUCUGAUCAGCACAGUGACCAACCAUUUUUUUCUCAAGAGGACUCCUGAUGAAAUAUGCUACCCAACUUCUGACAUUUAUGUGAUUGAUUUCUCUACUUGCCGUUCCAGUGAAUAAUCUGAAUUAAUUUGACCUCUUUCCUUUCCAAGGGACUUUUAAAAGUAUUCACCAUCACCACAGUUCAAAAGCAUGCAUUCUGUGGCACUCAGCUUUCCUCCUGUUUUGGACAUGGCCAAAUUGGGGAUUUGUUUUGCUUGCCUUUGAAUUACUGUUACAAGGAUUUUGCCUAUCUUUAGGGGGAAGUGGGGGUACUAGAAAAUAGAUUUUUGUUAAGGGUGGCCCUCCUUCCUUAGACUGGAGGAGGAAGCAUGAGAAGAAUCCCUUUUGGUCUUCCUCCCUUCUGGUACCCUGAUAUGUCAUACAUUUCUGAUAAUGUAUAAUAAUGGUUUAAGACUCAAGUU